AGCGUAGGCGGAUUUUUAAGUGGGAUGUGAAAUACUCGGGCUCAACCUGAGUGCUGCAUUCCAAACUGGAAGUCUAGAGUACAGGAGGGGAAAGUGGAAUUCCUAGUGUAGCGGUGAAAUGCGUAGAGAUUAGGAAGAACACCAGUGGCGAAGGCGACUUUCUGGACUGUAACUGACGCUGAGGCUCGAAAGCGUGGGGAGCAAACAGGAUUAGAUACCCCCGUA
This 225-nucleotide ribosomal RNA is filed under the name uncultured Clostridium sp. RNAcentral's name for it is "partial 16S ribosomal RNA". It matches the Rfam family "Bacterial small subunit ribosomal RNA", at positions 568 to 792 of the family's 1533-position model. The record is from RNAcentral. Lineage: Bacteria; Bacillati; Bacillota; Clostridia; Eubacteriales; Clostridiaceae.